CGCAGAUACUUUAGUCAAGUUCACUUUCACUUCCUCCUGGACGGGUUUCUGUGCGGAACUCCGUGUUAAGGCGAUUGCAGCAGUUUUUAAACCGCCAGCAGCUCCGUUUCUGGUCAAAAGCGCCGCAGAUAAUUCCCGUUAACGGACUCACAGCUGGAACUGAAGGACGAAGGAGCCGACGGUUCGACGCGUCCAGAUGUUGGAGCGGAGUCGGUGAAUUAGCAGCAGUUCAGAUGAAGGUAGAAGGUGUGUGAGCUGAUGUGAAUCCAGCAGCAUGGAUCAGUGUGAGGACAGAGAGGAGGGAGUCCUUCCCUCCAAAACCUCCCCGAGGGGAAAACCUGGGAGUCGGAGAGAAGAAGAGAGGUGAGAUGAUCUAACUGUCCAUGACUCUUCUGCACGUCAGAGUUCAGCCCUCACGUCACCAAACACCUUUAUUACAGGAGACCUGGACCUGGACCUGGACCUGGACCUGGAAAUGAACCUGGACCUGGACCUGGACCUGGACCUGGACCUGGACCUGGACCUGGACCUGGACCUGGACCUGAGCCCAGCUGUGUGUCCUUGAAGAGUGACAGAUCAAGGGAUUUUUUUUAUUAUUUUAAAGAUACCCAACGUUCUCUCUCAGUGAGAGUGGACCAGCAGAUCUCAGAGUCCCCCAGUGGUCCGUCUGUCCAGCAGCAUCAGACCCGGCUGGACUCCAUCUUUCAG
Long non-coding RNA from Cololabis saira (Pacific saury), 708 nucleotides. RefSeq lists it as uncharacterized. The transcript has 3 exons. NCBI's taxonomy places the organism in Eukaryota, Metazoa, Chordata, Actinopteri, Beloniformes, Belonidae. The record is from RefSeq and is a predicted model, not a curated record.